AGAGUUUGAUCCUGGCUCAGAAUGAACGCUGGCGGCGUGCUUAACACAUGCAAGUCGUACGAGAACGCUUCAGCUUGCUGAAGCUAGUAAAGUGGCGCACGGGUGAGUAACGCGUGGGUAAUCUACCUCCGAAUUGGGGAUAACGUUGCGAAAGCGACGCUAAUACCGGAUAAUAUCGAGAGGACUUCGGUUUUUUCGAUCAAAGGUGGCCUCUUCAUGAAAGCUACUGUUUGGAGAUGAGCCCGCGUCCCAUUAGCUUGUUGGUGGGGUAAAAGCCCACCAAGGCCGCGAUGGGUAGCUGGUCUGAGAGGAUGAUCAGCCACACUGGAACUGACACACGGUCCAGACUCCUACGGGAGGCAGCAGUGAGGAAUUUUGCGCAAUGGGGGAAACCCUGACGCAGCAACGCCGCGUGAGUGAUGAAGGCUUUCGGGUCGUAAAGCUCUGUCAAGUGGGAAGAACCACUUUGAGGAUAAUACCCUCGAGGUCUGACGGUACCACUGAAGGAAGCACCGGCUAACUCCGUGCCAGCAGCCGCGGUAAUACGGGGGGUGCAAGCGCUAUUCGGAUUUACUGGGCGUAAAGCGCGCGUAGGCGGCCGUUUAAGUCAGUUGUGAAAGCCCGGGGCUCAACCCCGGAAGUGCGACUGAAACUGGCAGGCUUGAGUAUGGGAGAGGGAAGUGGAAUUCCUGGUGUAGCGGUGAAAUGCGUAGAUAUCAGGAGGAACACCAGUGGCGAAGGCGACUUCCUGGACC
RNAcentral lists this ribosomal RNA (755 nucleotides) under uncultured delta proteobacterium. Its description in RNAcentral is "bacterial SSU rRNA". It matches the Rfam family "Bacterial small subunit ribosomal RNA", at positions 8 to 735 of the family's 1533-position model. The record is from RNAcentral. Lineage: Bacteria; Deltaproteobacteria.